RNAcentral lists this ribosomal RNA (848 nucleotides) under uncultured archaeon. RNAcentral describes it as "bacterial SSU rRNA". It matches the Rfam family "Archaeal small subunit ribosomal RNA", at positions 34 to 857 of the family's 1478-position model. The record is from RNAcentral.
CGGGAUAGGACUAAGACAUGCUAGUCGAGCGCUCCCUAGCCAAUUUGGGAGCGCGGCGCACAGCUCAGUAGCACGUGGCUAACCUGCCCUUGGGACAAGAACAACCCCGGGAAACUGGGGCUAAUUCUUGAUAGGUGAAGAACUCUGGAAUGAGUCUUCGCCCAAAGGGGGCUAAAGCUAUGCUCUUUAGCUUUGCCCAAGGAUGGGGCCGCGACCGAUCAGGUUGUUGGUGAGGUAAUGGCUCACCAAGCCUUUUACCGGUGCGGGCCGUGAGAGCGGGAGCCCGGAGAUGGGCACUGAGACAAGGGCCCAGGCCCUACGGGGCGCAGCAGUCGCGAAAACUUUGCAAUACACGGAAGUGUGACAGGGCUAUCCCGAGUGCCAUCCGCUGAGGAAGGCUUUUACCCAGUUUAGAACGCUGGGGGAAUAAGGAGAGGGCAAGUCUGGUGUCAGCCGCCGCGGUAAUACCAGCUCUCCGAGUGGUGUGGAUGUUUAUUGGGCCUAAAGCAUCCGUAGCUGGCUAGGUUAGUCUCUUGUUAAAUCCACCGAAUUAAUCGAUGGUUUGCGGGAGAUACUGCUUGGCUAGGGGACGGGAGAGGCAGACGGUAUUUCCGGGGUAGGGGUGAAAUCCUAUAAUCCCGGGAAGACCACCAGUGGCGAAGGCUGUCUGCUAGAACGCGCCCGACGGUGAGGGAUGAAAGCUGGGGGAGCGAACCGGAUUAGAUACCCGGGUAGUCCCAGCUGUAAACGAUGCAGGCUAGGUGUUUGGACGGCUACGUGCCGUUCUAGUGCCGCAGGGAAGCUGUUAAGCCUGCCGCCUGGGGAGUACGAUCGCAAGAUUGAAACUU